RNAcentral lists this ribosomal RNA (390 nucleotides) under uncultured bacterium. Its description in RNAcentral is "bacterial SSU rRNA". It matches the Rfam family "Bacterial small subunit ribosomal RNA", at positions 30 to 419 of the family's 1533-position model. The record is from RNAcentral.
AUUGAACGCUGGCGGCAUGCCUUACACAUGCAAGUCGAACGGCAGCGGGCCUUCGGGUGCCGGCGAGUGGCGAACGGGUGAGUAAUGCAUCGGAACGUGCCAUUGAGUGGGGGGAUAACGUAGCGAAAGUUACGCUAAUACCGCAUAUUCUGUGAGCAGGAAAGCAGGGGGACCCGCAAGGCCUUGCGCUCUUUGAGCGGCCGAUGUCAGAUUAGCUAGUUGGUGAGGUAAAGGCUUACCAAGGCGACGAUCUGUAGCGGGUCUGAGAGGAUGAUCCGCCACACUGGAACUGAGACACGGUCCAGACUCCUACGGGAGGCAGCAGUGGGGAAUUUUGGACAAUGGGCGCAAGCCUGAUCCAGCCAUUCCGCGUGCAGGAUGAAGGCCUUC